This 517-nucleotide ribosomal RNA is filed under the name uncultured bacterium. Its description in RNAcentral is "bacterial SSU rRNA". It matches the Rfam family "Bacterial small subunit ribosomal RNA", at positions 41 to 577 of the family's 1533-position model. The record is from RNAcentral.
GGCCGGCCCAACCCUGCAGUCGAGCGAUGAAGCUUCCUUCGGGAAGUGGAUUAGCGGCGGACGGGUGAGUAACACGUGGGUAACCUGCCUCAAAGUGGGGAAUAGCCUUCCGAAAGGAAGAUUAAUACCGCAUAAUGUAAGAGAAUCGCAUGAUUUUCUUACCAAAGAUUUAUCGCUUUGAGAUGGACCCGCGGCGCAUUAGCUAGUUGGUGAGGUAAAUGCUCACCAAGGCAACGAUGCGUAGCCGACCUGAGAGGGUGAUCGGCCACAUUGGAACUGAGACACGGUCCAGACUCCUACGGGAGGCAGCAGUGGGGAAUAUUGCGCAAUGGGGGAAACCCUGACGCAGCAACGCCGCGUGAGUGAUGAAGGUCUUCGGAUUGUAAAGCUCUGUUUUCUAGGACGAUAACGACGGUACUAGAAGAGGAAGCCACGGCUAACUACGUGCCAGCAGCCGCGGUAAUACGUAGGUGGCGAGCGUUGUCCGGAUUUACUGGGCGUAAAGGGUGCGUAGGCG